AGUGGUUGUCAAGUGACGCAGCCCUGAAUUGGGCUCCCUCCUCUCUGGUUCCGGGUACGUCAUGUGAGAACAACA
Myotis davidii is the source of this 75-nucleotide non-coding RNA. The record is from Rfam. Lineage: Eukaryota; Metazoa; Chordata; Mammalia; Chiroptera; Vespertilionidae.